UACGGAGGAUCCGAGCGUUAUCCGGAUUUAUUGGGUUUAAAGGGUGCGUAGGCGGCCCGUUAAGUCAGGGGUGAAAGACGGUAGCUCAACUAUCGCAGUGCCCUUGAUACUGGCGGACUUGAAUGGACUAGAGGUAGGCGGAAUGAGACAAGUAGCGGUGAAAUGCAUAGAUAUGUCUCAGAACACCGAUUGCGAAGGCAGCUUACUAUGGUUCUAUUGACGCUCAGGCACGAAAGCGUGGGGAGCAAAAGGG
RNAcentral lists this ribosomal RNA (253 nucleotides) under uncultured bacterium. RNAcentral describes it as "partial 16S ribosomal RNA". It matches the Rfam family "Bacterial small subunit ribosomal RNA", at positions 524 to 776 of the family's 1533-position model. The record is from RNAcentral.